This 1136-nucleotide long non-coding RNA is filed under the name Musa acuminata (dwarf banana). RNAcentral describes it as "long non-coding RNA (MACU_LNC006449)". Lineage: Eukaryota; Viridiplantae; Streptophyta; Magnoliopsida; Zingiberales; Musaceae. The record is from RNAcentral.
UGUGUGUGUGAAGGAUUACAUAAGGAUAUUUCUGGUUCAUUUAUCAAGGCUACCUGAAAUAUCGCAGGUUCAUUUACCAAAGGUUAAGGUAUUUGGUCAAAUUUAUUCAUUAAAUGUUGAAAGUUUGAGAUAUGAGGCAAUGUUUUUAUUUUUGUGUGUGUGUGUGUGUGUGAAGAUAUCAAUUAGUUUAUAGCUGGCUAAGUUCUAUUCGUCUCAUUCUGCACGCCUUGUCUGUGGAAUCAUGCAACCUGAAUGAAGCAUGACAUGAAGCCUUUGUACCUGAACUUUAUAUACUCACAUCUACUGCAUGAAGCACAUCCAAAUGUGAAAGUACUCGAGCAGCUAUGCCAUAAUUGCCAUUUUACGUCAGCCAAAGGUGGUCUCUGUCCUCUUCCAGUCGAGAAAACAUCAAUGGCAUUCGAGAAAUCCUUGCUUACACUCUGCAGCCCUUCACCUCUGCCAGUAUUGACUGCGGCAUUAAACAAAGCUCGAGUGCUCCGCUGCAAUCUGUUUACCAAACAAGAAUAAGGUGCUGUCUGCUUCAAACAAACGCCAACAUGCACCGGGCAUCAUCUUAUUCUGGGGUUGUGGGGGACCUGCGCUCAGGCAACGCCAACAACUCUCCGCGAACUGACAAAGCGAGAUAGCUGUACACCAUCACGCCAAUGGAGUGACAUAUCCCAACAAAGCAAAUAGAGAUAUCUCGACUGGUGGGUGUCGUCUGGCAUUCUGGAUUUGGUGACACGCCCAAACGGCAUGAACCCGACUGUAUCACUAUUCUCGAUAUUUCUCAUGAUCUCAUAUCACACACACUAUAAAAUGUUUUCAAACAAUAAUAUCAAAUAAUCACCCAAAAAUACAGACAAAUAGAUAGCUGUGUUUUCAUCAAUGUGACAAAAUUAGAUACCGCAUAGAAUAAAUAUGUCGGCAGGUAUAAAAGGCAUUAUUAUUAUUAUAUUACACAGAUACAGACACACAACAUAAAAAAGAAGAGCAAAGGAGGUUUGGUGAGAGAUUCGUACCUCAACUUUGCUUGUUUGUCUUUUGCUUAACGAGUGUUUAGAUUAGACUUGACUAUAGUUAAAUCUAUAAUUAAGGUCUAUAAUAAGUAUGUCAUGUGAGGGCUUUGGGUGGAG